This 505-nucleotide ribosomal RNA is filed under the name uncultured bacterium. Its description in RNAcentral is "partial 16S ribosomal RNA". It matches the Rfam family "Bacterial small subunit ribosomal RNA", at positions 28 to 507 of the family's 1533-position model. The record is from RNAcentral.
GACGAACGCUGGCGGCGUGCCUAAUACAUGCAAGUAGAACGCACAGUUUAUACCGUAGCUUGCUACACCAUAGACUGUGAGUUGCGAACGGGUGAGUAACGCGUAGGUAACCUGCCUGGUAGCGGGGGAUAACUAUUGGAAACGAUAGCUAAUACCGCAUAAUAUUAAUUAUUGCAUGAUAAUUAAUUGAAAGGUGCAAUUGCACCACUACCAGAUGGACCUGCGUUGUAUUAGCUAGUAGGUGAGGUAACGGCUCACCUAGGCGACGAUACAUAGCCGACCUGAGAGGGUGGUCGGCCACACUGGGACUGAGACACGGCCCAGACUCCUACGGGAGGCAGCAGUAGGGAAUCUUCGGCAAUGGGCGAAAGUCUGACCGAGCAACGCCGCGUGAGUGAAGAAGGUUUUCGGAUCGUAAAGCUCUGUUGUAAGAGAAGAACGGGUGUGAGAGUGGAAAGUUCACACUGUGACGGUAUCUUACCAGAAAGGGACGGCUAACUACGUG